CCCUUUAGACCCUUAUCGUGCCUUGGGUCGCGAACGCGUUAAAAUAUAAUUUUUGUUCUCACCGACAUACUUUGCGGCAACUGAAAUAAGGAGAACGGAAAUUGGGGAAGCACUGUAACGGCUACUCACACAUAUGACAAGGGAGCGUCGACGCACACGGGAAGAAGGUGAAGAGCCGAACCAGAAGAAUCACGCAGGCGAGGGAAUCGGGAAACCUUGCAAUUGCGGGGCUGUCUGAGAAGGGGGUUCGCGCAUUCCUCGAGACGGGGAUCGGGUGGUAUCGAUGAAGGGUUGAGGUUGAGGGAUGCUUUUGGGAGAAGGGGCAUAAAGAAGCAGCUAGGGUUUCGACUGGAAGCAGGGAGGUUCUGGAUAUUCGCUUCCCAGGGUUUUGCGCAGAGAGUUUGGGGGUUUCUCGGUUUUCUUGUCGGAUUGUGGGGAAAAAAGGAGAGGGGGCUUCAGUCAAUUUUUUCCUUACCUAAUUCUCAGUGAAGAGCUAUCUCGGUUCAAGGAGAGGGAGCGAGAAGCAUUCAGUACAGGGGCGGUAACGCUCGAGUGAUUGACAUUUUCUCUGGAGUCCUCUUCUUCUUUCUGAUCAGCUCUCGAGAUGAGGAGAGAGAGUGUUUGACAUAAACGAAUAGUGUGAACGGAGAGAGAAACCGGAUUUUUCUGUUCCUUCUGUCAGGUUUCGAAAGAAGAGGAGAAUCGAGUGAAGAAGAGGAGAGACUUGUCAUAGUACACAGAAUAUCAGGGAGGGGAGAAUGAAAGCAGGGAGUAGAAUCUAAAGAAGAAGAAGAAGGAGAAGAAGAAAGGAAGCACAACCAGAUAAAGAAACAGGAACAGUAGUGUGGUAGUCUUCUACAGAAACUUGACAGCAAAUUGGUGCGUUUCCAUUGAACACCUCUUGCUUAAUUCAUGCAACUUGUCGAAGAGCUCUCCCUUGAGUGUAUAUUGGACUGAAUCAAGAUGAUUGUAUCUUACAUUGUCUUUGAUCUCAUGACUAUGAAUGCCUUUCAAUGAAAUUGUUUGGUGAUGUUUUAUAUUCAUGUUAUAAGCUGUUUGAAGAUCCUUCCGUUUUGUCUCUGGUUUUGUUUGAGAUUUACUCAUUAUUUUGGCUCAGUUAAAUGAAUAUUCAGAUGCUAAUUACUGUACUCAAAUUUUUUCCUGUAUUGAUUUCUUUCUCAUCUUAAUAAUGCUUCUUUUUCUAUUAAAAAAAUGCUUUUUUUUUCUUUUCUUUUUAUUCUCUUGAUAUGCAUCAUGCCUUCAGAUAUGGAUGCAAUAGUGGGGGUUUGGCAUGCAGGAUGUAUAAGUUUUCAUUCUAAUAUAGUUUAAAGAAUUGAUGUUGAGUUAUUGGUGAGAACUAGUUGUUCGUACAGUGUUCAAUGACCUGUAUCUGAUUGAAUGGAAAUGUUAAUGUUCCUCACUUUUUUUUGGUCCCAUCUAGUUUUAAUGAUGGACUGUGGUUUCCAUUAUGUCUAGUGGUGAUUUGUGGACAUUGCACCUUGUUUUAGGUCUGCUAGAGCUAGAAUACUGUCUGUUUUACCAUCACUUUGAAUUAUCAUAUCUCCUUUACUUCUUUUGAUGAUUGAAUUUGAAUGUAUCGUAUGUUAAGAGUUAUAAAUGUGCUGUCCUUUUUGAAAAUGAGUUAUGAUCAAUGGUACAAAUAUUCAACCGAUGAAUUUAUGGAGUUUGGGUACGAGUUAGCAUGGAAGAAAUAUGGGUAUAUGGUUAAUAUCUUUAUUUUUCCAUGCUUUAUUUUGUUAUGCAGGCAUACUUGCUGCCCAAACAGGUGUUUAUAGGACAUAUUGUAUGUUGUUGUUUUGCAC
This 1823-nucleotide long non-coding RNA is filed under the name Carica papaya (papaya). Its description in RNAcentral is "long non-coding RNA (CPAP_LNC008389)". The record is from RNAcentral. Lineage: Eukaryota; Viridiplantae; Streptophyta; Magnoliopsida; Brassicales; Caricaceae.